Molecule: ribosomal RNA, 954 nt
Filed under: Dothiorella viticola
Lineage: Eukaryota; Fungi; Ascomycota; Dothideomycetes; Botryosphaeriales; Botryosphaeriaceae
Description: eukaryotic LSU rRNA
Rfam family: 5.8S ribosomal RNA (bases 452-605)
Source: RNAcentral
GUCUCUUUUAUACAAUUUAUAAAGCUGUGAACACUAUCCAGCCAACCUGUGACCCCCCCCCGGCCAUCUGCCAAGGUCCAUUUUUUUCCACUGAAACAUCAUAUCAAAUACUUUUCCAAGACACAAAUUCCCUUCCUACCUCGAGCCUUUCUUUUGCAUUGAACAUGUAACAAAGUUUCCCUAGGUGAACCUCCCGGAAGGAUCACAAAAAAAACAUUGGGCCUCCGAGACCGUACUACAAACUUUUGAAGGUAAAAAAGCGUAACAAGGUUUCCGUAGGUGAACCUGCGGAAGGAUCAUUACCGAGUUGAUUCGAGCUCCGGCUCGACUCUCCCACCCUUUGUUUACCUACCUCUGUUGCUUUGGCGGUGCCGCCUUCGGGCGCCCGCCAGAGGACUUCAAAACUCCAGUCAGUGAACGUCUCAGUCUGAAAAACAAGUUAAUAAACUAAAACUUUCAACAACGGAUCUCUUGGUUCUGGCAUCGAUGAAGAACGCAGCGAAAUGCGAUAAGUAAUGUGAAUUGCAGAAUUCAGUGAAUCAUCGAAUCUUUGAACGCACAUUGCGCCCCUUGGUAUUCCGGGGGGCAUGCCUGUUCGAGCGUCAUUUCAACCCUCAAGCUCUGCUUGGUAUUGGGCUCCGUCCUCCUCGGACGCGCCUCAGAGACCUCGGCGGUGGCGUCUUGCCUCAAGCGUAGUAGAAACACCUCGCUUUGGAGUGCAUGGCGUCGCCCGCCGGACGAAACCUUUUGUAUUUUCUCAAAGGUUGACCUCGGAUCAUGUAGGGAUACCCGCUGAACUUAAGCAUACAAUAGGCAAGAAAACUUCGCCUUAGCAAGCUUCUCAUACAAAGCUUUCUUAACAUCUGACUGAACUCAGGCGGGAUUACCCACUGAAAUUUAGCUACUUAAGGGAGAAUAGAAAACCCCAUGUGUGAGAAGUAAAAUAAAGUACAU